CUCUCUGACUUUUUCCUUGUGUUCCGCUGAGAGUCGACUCUUGCUUUCUUUGGAGUCGACUCGCGUUCCACUGGAGUCGACUCGAAUCUCAGACCCGAAAACUGCUCUCUGACUUUUCUGCCUGUGACUCCUAGGAGUCGACUCAUACUUCCCCGGAGUCGACUCGGUAAACAUUGGAGUCGACUCGAAUUCCUCAGGAGUCGACUCGAAGACUAUUCUUUUGAAUUUUUUUUCUUUGAUUUUACUCCUCCAAUUUGAAUCCUCUGAACUUUAAGCUUGGGCCAAUAAAUUGUAGCUUUCUUCCAACUUGAGAGCUUUGGAGGCCUUCUUGUGUUCUCCCAACUUGCUAUGUUCCUUGCAAAAUAAAUAUCUUUCUCCUUGCAACAUAA
This 389-nucleotide long non-coding RNA is filed under the name Phoenix dactylifera (date palm). Its description in RNAcentral is "long non-coding RNA (PDAC_LNC009769)". Lineage: Eukaryota; Viridiplantae; Streptophyta; Magnoliopsida; Arecales; Arecaceae. The record is from RNAcentral.